UACGGAGGGUGCAAGCGUUAAUCGGAAUUACUGGGCGUAAAGCGCACGCAGGCGGCUUGUUAAGUCGGAUGUGCAAGCCCCGGGCUCCACCUGGGAAUUGCAUUCGAUACUGGCAAGCUAGAGUAUGUGAGAGGGGAGUAGAAUUCCAAGUGUAGCGGUGAAAUACGUAGAGAGUUGGAGGAAGACCAGUGGCGAAGGCGGCCCCCGGGCACACUACUGACGCUCAGGUGCGAAAGCGUGGGGAGCAAACAGG
Molecule: ribosomal RNA, 253 nt
Filed under: uncultured bacterium
Lineage: Bacteria
Description: partial 16S ribosomal RNA
Rfam family: Bacterial small subunit ribosomal RNA
Source: RNAcentral